Molecule: long non-coding RNA, 200 nt
Filed under: Carassius auratus (goldfish)
Lineage: Eukaryota; Metazoa; Chordata; Actinopteri; Cypriniformes; Cyprinidae
Description: lncRNA (ENSCARG00000064576.1)
Source: RNAcentral
GAAGACUGGAGUAAUAUACACAUUUUGUUUUUGUUUAUUAAUUUGUCUUAUUAUACGGAUGCUUAUUGGGUGUACUUCAGAACUUGUCAAGAGCGCUAGUUAACAUUGCCUCAAAACUCACACACACCAAGGAUGUCCGAGAUCUGUUCAUCGACCUUGUGGAGAAGCAGGUGUGGGUCAACAGCAGGGGAGUACUAUUG